Molecule: ribosomal RNA, 478 nt
Filed under: uncultured KB1 group bacterium
Lineage: Bacteria; Candidatus Calescibacteriota
Description: bacterial SSU rRNA
Rfam family: Bacterial small subunit ribosomal RNA
Source: RNAcentral
UGGAGCACGUGGUUUAAUUCGAUGAUAAGCGAAGAACCUUACCAGGGCUUGACCUAGCGGUAGUAGGACCCCGAAAGGGGAACGACCUCAAGCUUUGCUUGAGGAGCCCGUGGCAGGUAUUGCAUGGCUGUCGUCAGCUCGUGUCGUGGGACGUUGGGUUAAGUCCCGUAACGAGCGCAACCCCUGCCCUUAAUUGCCAACGGGUAAUGCCGGGUACUAUAAGGGGACUGCCGGAGAAUAUCCGGAGGAAGGAGGGGACGACGUCAAGUCAUUAUGAUCCUUAUGCUCUGGGCGACACACGUGCUACAAUGGGCACUACAAUGAGGAGCGAUUCCGCAAGGAGGAGCAAAUCUCAAAAAGGUGCCCCCAGUGCGGAUUGGGGUCUGCAACCCGACCCCAUGAAGAUGGAAUCGGUAGUAAUCGCGGGUCAGCCAUACCGCGGUGAAUACGUACUUGGGCCUUGUACACACCGCCCGUC